This 2720-nucleotide unclassified non-coding RNA is filed under the name Hevea brasiliensis (rubber tree). Lineage: Eukaryota; Viridiplantae; Streptophyta; Magnoliopsida; Malpighiales; Euphorbiaceae. The record is from RNAcentral.
AAACCCUUUAUUUUUUGUUUCUUUUUUCUUUCUCCGAUCUCUGUUUUGCAGCUUAUAGAUUUCACCAUCAGCCUUUUCUCUUCCCCAGAUCUCUUACAUCAUCGAAACCAGAAUCCCAGAUGCUAUAGUCAGAGGAAGAUAGGAAGUAAAAAUGGUGAAGCUGACAAUGAUUGCCCGUGUCACUGAUGGCCUUCCACUAGCUGAGGGAUUGGAUGAUGGCCGUGACUUGAAAGAUAUUGAAAUAUACAAACAACAAGUGAAGGCUUUGUUUAAGAAUCUCACUACACGCCAAAAUGAGCCUUCAAGGAUGUCCAUUGAAACUGGUCCUUAUGUCUUCCAUUAUAUCAUUGAAGGACGUGUUUGUUACCUCACAAUGUGUGAUCGUUCUUAUCCUAAGAAGCUAGCAUUUCAGUAUUUGGAAGACCUGAAAAAUGAAUUUGAGCGUGUCAAUGGGGCACAGAUUGAAACAGCUGCUAGACCAUAUGCCUUCAUUAAAUUUGGUAGGUCUUUUUGUUUCAUUGAACUUGUUCUUCACGCUUAAUAUUUUGUUGACAUUGUUUUCUAUACCUCUGCUAGGCUUGAUUUUGUUUUCAUGUUUAUGUUUUAAAGAUACUUUCAUAGAGAAAACAAAGAAAUUGUACCAGGACACCCGUACUCAGCGGAAUAUUGCAAAGUUGAAUGAUGAACUCUAUGAAGUUCACCAAAUAAUGACUCGCAAUGUGCAGGAAGUACUCGGUGUUGGUGAAAAACUAGACCAGGUCAGCGAAAUGUCCAGUCGGUUAACAUCAGAAUCUCGCAUAUAUGCUGACAAGGCAAGAGAUUUGAAUAGGCAGGCCUUAAUUAGAAAGUGGGCUCCUGUUGCUAUAGUGUUAGGAGUUGUUUUCCUCCUCUUCUGGGUUAAAACGAAGAUCUGGUGAUCCAGUUGCCUCUACGGUUUCUGAGAAUUGUUGCAUUAUUUUCCUGGGUUUCUCUACAUUGCUGUCAGUUACUUGUGUUCAUGGAGAAUCAUCUGAACUUAAAGGACUUCUGACUGGGGACUAGAUGGUCAUAAAGACUUAAAUCAUCUUUCAAGCUGGACUGUAGUUUUUGUUCAUGGGACACUCUGGUUAACAGGAUUUGUUCUUUAGGUAAGCUCCCAAUGACCAUUUGGAGAUGGGCAAGAGAGACCCUUUGGUUUACAAGGAGCAAAACUACAUUGGAUACAAGCAAAUUUCUAUAUUCUCAAUGCUUUAUAGAGGCUUUAUUGAUCUACAUGAUUAUGGCCAUAAGUAUGUGAUCUACAAUUACAUUUACACGCUUUCUGCAAAUUUUAUAUUACAUCAUGAUUUAUGUGUGCCCUCUUGUCUUUUAAUUAUUAUUUUUUUGGUAGUAUUCUAGCAGCAAAUAAUUUGUCUUGUUAGUUUUUGGGUGCCAUAAUAUCUUUGACCUGCAUUAGUUUUUGUCACGGCAUCUGCUAAACAUUAAAUUUGCCAUGUUCUCAUUGCAGAAAUGGGCAGCCCUUCAUGCUGUCUGCUGGUGAAUACGAUCAUCACUGAAUAGCCUAACAAUAUAUUGCUUAUGAUAGUAUGAUACUACAUGGCAUAUUGAUCAUGUUCUUAAAACAGAUUGCAGGCAUAGCAUUUUUCUGUUUAAAGCAAAGUGGAUGAUAAACAGUUUGAUCAUGAGUUUGUGUGAAAGUAAAUUUAUUUACCUUUGUGGUGAGAGACUUAAUGAUACUUGGUGUUUAUUAUGUGCUUGCCUGUUCGUGUGAAUUGAUUGUCCCUCGAAGUCUACUAGAAUUUCUUAAUGGAAGUGCAAUCUGCCUACUUUGUUCAUUUGGGUUUGAUGGGUUUCGUGUUUAUCUGCACAACAUUACGAUUGGCCCUGGUUGGUUAUAUUCAGCAUGAACUUACCUCCAGGUCUCAGCGUGGUCCAUCAUUAAGCUGCUACUUCGGUGGAAUUGUUUGUUGUCUGGUAUCUCUCGAAGUAAGUGGCUUAAACCAUUGAUGUUUUUCCAGAAAAUUGAGGGAUUAAGCCUGCAAUAUAAGUAUAAAUAUUUUCCUCACCUUCACCUUGCACAACCCACACUAACUUUUCGCCUUUUUCCUUUUUGUUUCAUUUUCAUCUGUGUUGCAAAACCUAGUUCUAGAAAAGUGGCAAUUAGGAAAUCAAAUGGUCUAACGUCUAAGCAUUCAAGUCUGCUAUACCCAAAUGAUUUCUCUUCAUACAUUUCAGCACUUGUAUUCUGCAUUUCCAGGAAACUUAGUAGUAAGAAGAAAAGAGGAGAAAAAUGAACAUGCGGUCAGACAAGAUUAGCGCAUUAGCACAUGUACUUUAAGCAGCAAUGUACUGGCCGUUCAAUUGAAGAAUGAUUUAUUGAGCAGAGCACCAGGACUCUCACAUUAAGUGAGCUCCAUUCACGUGGAUUCAUUUGUAAGGUGCAAAUAAGAUGGAAGAAUUAUGCCCACCAAAUCCGAGAGAGUUUGACAAUGCCACCGUGAUGUUCAAGCGCUCUUUUUUGGCACCAACAAGCAAAGCCUUGUCCUGAAUACAGAAAUAGCACGAUAAAUUGAAGACAAGUACUUGGAGAGGUGUAAAAACUGCACAUUCUGAGAUCAUAGGGUGAGUGGAAGGAAUAAUAUUAAACAUACCACAGCUUUGUCAGGAUUUUCAAGAUUGAUGUUAGGGUGGACCCAUCCUGUUUGUAUUGCCUAUACUUAUAAAAAAAAAAAAAAAAAAAA